AUUAAAACAGUUAUAGUUUAUUUGAUGGUCACCUGUUAUUUGGAUAACUGUGGUAAUUCUAGAGCUAAUACAUGCAUAAAAACCCGACUUUCAGGAAGGGUUGUAUUUAUUAGAUACAGAACCAAUCCCUUCGGGGUUCUUUGGAUGAUUCAUAAUAAAUGAACGGAGCGCAUGACGUGAGUCGGCGCUGUGUCAUUCAAGUUUCUGACCUAUCANCUUUCGACGGGAGGGUAUUGGCCNACCGUGGCAUUGACGGGUAACGGAAAAUUAGGGUUCGAUUCCGGAGAGGGAGCCCGAAAAACGGCUACCACAUCUAAGGAAGGNAGCAGGNGCGCAAAUUACCCNAUCCUGACACAGGGAGGUAGUGACAAAAAAUAACAAAGCAGGCC
RNAcentral lists this ribosomal RNA (389 nucleotides) under uncultured marine alveolate. RNAcentral's name for it is "SSU rRNA". It matches the Rfam family "Eukaryotic small subunit ribosomal RNA", at positions 100 to 491 of the family's 1831-position model. The record is from RNAcentral.